RNAcentral lists this transfer RNA (57 nucleotides) under Rhabditophanes sp. KR3021. RNAcentral describes it as "tRNA-Tyr". It matches the Rfam family "tRNA". Rfam says of the family: Transfer RNA (tRNA) molecules are approximately 80 nucleotides in length. Their secondary structure includes four short double-helical elements and three loops (D, anti-codon, and T loops). The record is from RNAcentral. Lineage: Eukaryota; Metazoa; Nematoda; Chromadorea; Rhabditida; Alloionematidae.
AAGAGAUUAGUUUAAGUUUAAAAUGUUAGACUGUAAAUCUAAAGUUAUUAUCUCUUG